RNAcentral lists this ribosomal RNA (821 nucleotides) under uncultured bacterium. RNAcentral's name for it is "bacterial SSU rRNA". It matches the Rfam family "Bacterial small subunit ribosomal RNA", at positions 10 to 818 of the family's 1533-position model. The record is from RNAcentral.
AGUUUGAUCCUGGCUCAGGACGAACGCUGGCGGCGUGCCUAACACAUGUAAGUCGAACGGGACCGGGGGCAACUCCGGUUCAGUGGCAGACGGGUGCGUAACACGUGAAGAACUUGUCCAACGGUGGGGGACAGCCGGCCCAACGGCCGGUUAAUACCGCAUACGAUCGUUUGGGGGCAUCCCUGGGCGAUGAAAGCAGCCGCAAGGUUGCGCCGAUGGAGAGCUUCGCGGCCUAUCAGCUAGUUGGCGGGGUAAUGGCCCACCAAGGCGACGACGGGUAGCUGGUCUGAGAGGAUGGCCAGCCACAUUGGGGCUGAGACACGGCCCAGACUCCUACGGGAGGCAGCAGUGGGGAAUCUUGCGCAAUGGCCGAAAGGCUGACGCAGCGACGCCGCGUGUGGGAUGACGGCCUUCGGGUUGUAAACCACUGUCGGGAGGAACGAAUACUCGGCCUCGAAUAGGGGCCCGAGGGUGACGGUACCUCCAAAGGAAGCACCGGCUAACUCCGUGCCUGCAGCCGCGGUAAUACGGAGGGUGCGAGCGUUGUCCGGAAUCACUGGGCGUAAAGGGCGCGUAGGUGGCUCGUUAAGUGGUCGGUGAAAUCCCGGGGCUCAACUCCGGGGCUGCCGAUCAGACUGGCGGGCUAGAGCACGGUAGGGGCAGAUGGAAUUCCCGGUGUAGCGGUGGAAUGCGUAGAUAUCGGGAAGAACACCAGUGGCGAAGGCGUUCUGCUGGGCCGUUGCUGACACUGAGGCGCGACAGCGUGGGGAGCAAACAGGAUUAGAUACCCUGGUAGUCCACGCCGUAAACGAUGGACACUA